This 68-nucleotide transfer RNA is filed under the name Massilibacterium senegalense. It matches the Rfam family "tRNA". From Rfam's summary of the family: Transfer RNA (tRNA) molecules are approximately 80 nucleotides in length. Their secondary structure includes four short double-helical elements and three loops (D, anti-codon, and T loops). RNAcentral also lists the same sequence under 1 other name. The record is from RNAcentral. Lineage: Bacteria; Bacillati; Bacillota; Bacilli; Caryophanales; Bacillaceae.
UCGAUAGCUCAGUCGGUAGAGCAGAGGACUGAAAAUCCUCGUGUCGGCGGUUCGAUUCCGUCUCGAGC